UCAUCAGGUAGGAUAAUCCUUAUCUAUUCCUCCUUUUGGAGGGCCGAUUGAAACACAAUUGAAGUUCACAUGACUUGUGAUUAGCGUUUCUGCGUAAUCAGGACUUGCAAUACCCUGAUUGUUCCUGAU
Pteronotus mesoamericanus is the source of this 129-nucleotide small nucleolar RNA. RefSeq annotates it as U8 small nucleolar RNA. Lineage: Eukaryota; Metazoa; Chordata; Mammalia; Chiroptera; Mormoopidae. The record is from RefSeq and is a predicted model, not a curated record. The transcript has a single exon.